Molecule: non-coding RNA, 2624 nt
Organism: Manis javanica (Malayan pangolin)
Lineage: Eukaryota; Metazoa; Chordata; Mammalia; Pholidota; Manidae
Source: RefSeq, a predicted model, not a curated record
AAGCAAUUGACAUCCAAGAAGCUUCCUUGCAGACUUCCUUUUAUGUUUCAUGGCUAAAACUGGAUCAUAUGAAUACCCCUUGCUCCUAGAGAAGCUGGAAAAGCAUUAUUCUGGGAAGGGAUCUGAAGACUUCAACUGACUGUCAAAGAGAUUCUUGACAUGAAGAUUAGGAACCCCUGACGUCUCGGGCUGAAAAUUCAGAAAGUUCAUCAAAGCUGCCAAUCUGAUAGAGUCAGCACCAACAUGAAUGUCAACCAGAAACCUUUCAGCAGAAUGAAAAAUCAUUCAAUGGGGCAUUUGAAGCUUUUGUAAACAAACUGAAGACUGAGCUCAAAAUAGGGCCUUCUGUUUGCACCCUUGGGUCCACUCUUUACUCGUCUCCAUCCUGUUCUCUGCCCAGAAAUGACGGCCUGUGUGGAUGACAACAAAGGGCUUCUUUGCCCAGAGCGCUGGCUGCAGAGAAGAAGGAGGGAAAGAAGGGGUAUUUCUUUCCUGGCAACUUCACUGCUGGUUAUGGCAGGUUGGCUGUGUCCCUGCACUGGGAGUCCCAGCCCCCGCAGGCAGCCUUCCCGAGACGGCCUCUCUCCAAGUCCAGGAGGUCCUCGGAGCUCUCUGUGCCUUCACAGCUCAUGGUGGGCAGAGCUGCCUGCUCUCGCUAGUUCCAGAGAAUGACUCCCUCCAUGAAGGCAGAGACCAGCCCCACCCAGACCUCUGCAAAGAGUCUCUUUGUUAACCCUCUUCAGUCACCCCUUGUGUGUGUGUGCUUGCCCCUGCCACCACCCUCAGGGAGACCACGGAUACUUCUUGUUAAGAGGACUGCAACUGCCCUUGAACUGGCUCUUGCUUCCAAGCUUAUUUUAUACAAUCUUGCAAAGCACAUCUAUCUAAGGCACUGCUAAGACACUCAGUUGAGCCUCCACUGCAUAUAGGACAGCAUUCAAAUCGUCAUCAUUAGUUAUUCCUGAACUUUUAGCUUUGGUCAACGAAUUUGUUCUCCAUCUCUCAGAAAGAGGGUGCAAUUUUCUCCUUCCACGUGAUUGCUCACACAGUCAAUGAGCCUUUUCCACCCACUUCUGAAACCACACUCAUCCCUCAAGAUGCUCUUCUAACUUUGCCCUUUCCAGUUAGCCUUUCUUACCUGAUGUUCCACCGGGGUGUGAACUCUCACAGCAAUGCCUUUCUAUUCAGUUUGUUGGGAAAUCAAUCAGAUACCACCUCUGUAUAUGUCUUCUAGUGUCCUGGAAACAUUAUUUAAAUUUUAAAUUAUUUAUCUUUUCAAAAUCACUGGCUUUGGCACUAUGUCAUUUGGGCCUUCACUGUAGGCUUCAUCAACACUGGGAACAUACAUGUUAUUCACCUGGCCAAGCCUCCCUUUGCUGGAAAAUGAAAGGGUAACAGUGAUGCCUACCUUACAUGAUGGUGUGAGGGUUAAGUUAGCACACACAAAGCUCUUACUACAGAGUAUGGCAGAUGGAUACUAUUUCACUCCUCGUUUCCUGUCUUUCCUUCAACUGAGGCUCAAGACUAGCUAAUGUCUGUGAGUGCUGAGGAAGUGCCAUGUAUAACUGUGAACAUUUUGCCCAUAAUCAUUUAUAUACAACAAGCCUAGGUACUGUUAUUCCCCUUGUUUCAUAGAUGGAGAAACUGAGGUACAAAGGGGUUAAGAAACUUAUUCAAGGUUUCCCAGGACAUAAGACGGACACAUUAAUUCACACCUAGAUUACAGACUUUUUAAGGAAAAGACCCAUCUUACAAAAAUUUAUGUCAUUCACAGGGCCUAGCAGGAUGUCUUACAUAUAGACCAUAUUCAAUAAACGUUGAUUUCAUUCCAAGAGGCAGAGGCAAUUAAGCUAGUGUUGCAAUAGGCAGGGGACUAGAAAUGCAUAUGGUCAAAGCAGCAGAUGCUUCCACGAAGCAAGCAGUACCGUGCGCAGCUGAAAAAGAGCUAGGAGGCGAGGUCCUGGCUGCUGCUGAAAGCCAGAGAGCAGCCAGCCAGGAGCGAGGCAAGAAAGAGGAGGACCUGAGCUGGGAGGCCAGCAACGGUGGAAAGCUCUACAAAUGAAGCUUGAACUCUGCUCUCAGCAGUCCUCCCGGCCCUGAGGAGACAAUUGAUCUCACUCCAUCCUGUGGUUAUACCUAUACCACUUGAGCAUCUUUAAAAACACUUAGCCCAAACUGAUGGACCCUUGCCUUCUGCCUGCCUUACCUGGGCCACAAACCUCAGAGCUUUCUGGGAUUUCUGUUAACAGCCCAGCUCCCGGGAAUCGGUCUCCACCAACAUGACUGUCGCUCACCCUGAGCACGGGACACAUGGCCGAGCAUCUGGGAGGGGGCAGAUGGGCCAGGAGGGCUGGCGAGAGGCACAUGCUUUCAUUAGAACGGAUGUGCCACAGUAAAUCAUUUUGUAAACCUUCCCUCCCUUUCUUUCUGCAUAGCGACACAGAAGGGAAGACCAAUCACCCAAAGCACCAUAACGCUUUUGGAAAACGCUGAAGCUUGAGCCUGAGACACUUACUGACAUUUCCUUAAAUAUCUUUUUAAUAUCUUGGCCAGGUCAGGCAUACCAAUGGCAUUACAGAGCUUGCAAAUCAAUGCCCCAGCUGUUUUGGUUUUUUAAUAAAACU